This 325-nucleotide ribosomal RNA is filed under the name uncultured eukaryote. RNAcentral describes it as "partial 18S ribosomal RNA". It matches the Rfam family "Eukaryotic small subunit ribosomal RNA", at positions 1470 to 1796 of the family's 1831-position model. The record is from RNAcentral.
CCCUUAGAUGUUCUGGGCCGCACGCGCGCUACACUGACUGGUGCAACAAGUGUCGCUCCUUGGCCGAUAGGCCUGGGCAAUCUUUGAACGCCAGUCGUGAUGGGGAUAGAUUCUUGCAAUUUUUGAUCUUCAACGAGGAAUUCCUAGUAAACGCGAGUCAUCAACUCGCAUUGAUCACGUCCCUGCCCUUUGUACACACCGCCCGUCGCACCUACCGAUUGAAUGGUCCGGUGAACCCUCCGGAUCGGCCCGCGCCAACGCAAGUUGAGCAAAGGCCGAGAAGUUGGGUAAACCUUACCAUUUAGAGGAAGGUGAAGUCGUAACA